UUGACCUUUGUGUAGAAACACCAUGUCAGAAUGGAGGAACCUGCACUUUUGUUGAUAGUUCUCGAACUUGUGCAUGUCCUAGCACCCACCAGGGAGUAAACUGUGAAACAGAGAUUGACCUUUGUGUAGAAACACCAUGUCAGAAUGGAGGAACCUGCACUUUUGUUGAUAGUACUCGAACUUGUGCAUGCCCUAGCACCCACCAGGGAGUAAACUGUGAAACAGAGAUUGACCUUUGUGUAGAAACACCAUGUCAGAAUGGAGGAACCUGC
This is a long non-coding RNA of Strongylocentrotus purpuratus (purple sea urchin), 272 nucleotides long. RefSeq lists it as uncharacterized. The transcript is spliced from 3 exons. Lineage: Eukaryota; Metazoa; Echinodermata; Echinoidea; Camarodonta; Strongylocentrotidae. The record is from RefSeq and is a predicted model, not a curated record.